This 69-nucleotide transfer RNA is filed under the name Sphaerodactylus townsendi. RNAcentral's name for it is "tRNA-Val". It matches the Rfam family "tRNA". Rfam says of the family: Transfer RNA (tRNA) molecules are approximately 80 nucleotides in length. Their secondary structure includes four short double-helical elements and three loops (D, anti-codon, and T loops). Further hydrogen bonds mediate the characteristic L-shaped molecular structure. tRNAs have two regions of fundamental functional importance: the anti-codon, which is responsible for specific mRNA codon recognition, and the 3' end, to which the tRNAs corresponding amino acid is attached (by aminoacyl-tRNA synthetases). tRNAs cope with the degeneracy of the genetic code in two manners: having more than one tRNA (with a specific anti-codon) for a particular amino acid; and 'wobble' base-pairing, i.e. permitting non-standard base-pairing at the 3rd anti-codon position. Lineage: Eukaryota; Metazoa; Chordata; Lepidosauria; Squamata; Sphaerodactylidae. The record is from RNAcentral.
GCUGUGGCUAAGUAAUUCAGCACCUGCUUGACAUUCAGAAGGUUCCAGGUUCGAUCCCUGGCACCUCCA